Molecule: ribosomal RNA, 253 nt
Filed under: uncultured bacterium
Lineage: Bacteria
Description: partial 16S ribosomal RNA
Rfam family: Bacterial small subunit ribosomal RNA
Source: RNAcentral
UACGAAGGGGGCUAGCGUUGUUCGGAAUUACUAGGCGUAAAGCGCACGUAGGCGGAUUUUUAAGUCAGGGGUGAAAUCCCGAGGCUCAACCUCGGAACUGCCUUUGAUACUGGAGAUCUUGAGUUCGGAAGAGGUUGGUGGAACAGCUAGUGUAGAGGUGAAAUUCGUAGAUAUUAGCUAGAACACCAGUGGCGAAGGCGGCCAACUGGUCCGAUACUGACGCUGAGGUGCGAAAGCGUGGGGAGCAAACAGG